This 253-nucleotide ribosomal RNA is filed under the name uncultured bacterium. RNAcentral's name for it is "partial 16S ribosomal RNA". It matches the Rfam family "Bacterial small subunit ribosomal RNA", at positions 524 to 776 of the family's 1533-position model. The record is from RNAcentral.
UACAUGGGGUGCAAACGUUGCUCGGAAUUAUUGGGCGUAAAGCGCACGUAGGUGGUCUGUUAUGUCAGAUGUGAAAGCCCUCGGCUUAACUGAGGAAGUGCACCUGAAACUGGCAGGCUUGAGUACGAAAGAGGGUCGCGGAAUUCCCGGUGUAGAGGUGAAAUUCGUAGAUAUCAGGAGGAACACCGGUGGCGAAGGCGGCUUUCUGGACAGAAACUGACGCUGAUGCGCGAAAGCUAGGGGAGCAAACAGG